AAAAAGAGAAAGGAAAAAGACGUGAAAAGAAUAUGGGAAUCGUGAGAGGAGUUUUGGGACUUCCUAUUUCAAAAAUAAAAAUAAAAAAAGAUUAAAUUUAACAAAACCCAUUAGAUUUCCCAAAGUUGGAAAAAAAUAAAAAUAAAAAUAGCAUCCUCUAAGAACAUUUAAGGAUUCAAACUCGAGACCUAAGAGCAAACUAACAAACGGCUUACCACCAAACCAGUAGAUUGAUUCUGUUCCUAAAAC
RNAcentral lists this long non-coding RNA (249 nucleotides) under Gossypium raimondii (Peruvian cotton). RNAcentral describes it as "long non-coding RNA (GRAI_LNC010653)". Lineage: Eukaryota; Viridiplantae; Streptophyta; Magnoliopsida; Malvales; Malvaceae. The record is from RNAcentral.